This is a non-coding RNA of Macrostomum lignano, 70 nucleotides long. Lineage: Eukaryota; Metazoa; Platyhelminthes; Macrostomidae. The record is from Rfam.
GGGGUUGUAGCCCCGUGGUCAGAGCGUCGGACUCACGAAUUGAAGGUCGGGGGUUCGAUUCCCAGUCCCA